CGAUUGAACGCUGGCGGAAUGCUUUACACAUGCAAGUCGAACGGCAGCACGGGGCAACCUGGUGGCGAGUGGCGAACGGGUGAGUAAUACAUCGGAACGUGCCCAAUCGUGGGGGAUAACGUAGCGAAAGUUACGCUAAUACCGCAUACGAUCUACGGAUGAAAGCGGGGGAUCGCAAGACCUCGCGCGAAUGGAGCGGCCGAUGUCAGAUUAGGUAGUUGGUGGGGUAAAGGCUCACCAAGCCAACGAUCUGUAGCUGGUCUGAGAGGACGACCAGCCACACUGGAACUGAGACACGGUCCAGACUCCUACGGGAGGCAGCAGUGGGGAAUUUUGGACAAUGGGCGCAAGCCUGAUCCAGCCAUGCCGCGUGAGUGAAGAAGGCCUUCGGGUUGUAAAGCUCUUUCGGCCGGGAAGAAAUCGCUUAGGUUAAUACCCUGAGUGGAUGACGGUACCGGAAUAAGAAGCACCGGCUAACUACGUG
This 484-nucleotide ribosomal RNA is filed under the name uncultured bacterium. RNAcentral's name for it is "bacterial SSU rRNA". It matches the Rfam family "Bacterial small subunit ribosomal RNA", at positions 27 to 507 of the family's 1533-position model. The record is from RNAcentral.